AUAAUGAUACUUCUCUACGGAGUGGCUGGAGAACCCAGCUGGGGUGAGAUUCCCAUGA
This 58-nucleotide non-coding RNA is filed under the name unclassified sequences. Its description in RNAcentral is "pemK RNA". It matches the Rfam family "pemK RNA". The record is from RNAcentral.